UUGGUGUUUCCUUCAGAAUUCAGCUAAGUGAGCACUGGCUUGUGUUGUGUUCCAUUGUGAUGAGGCAGCACUGAGUUCCACUGCAAAGUUCCACAGUCACUUUGUCCUCCCUCCCCCAGGCACACAGAUUCUCUCUCCACUUACUGCUGCUGGAGGGGAAGGGAGGAGUGGUGUAUGUAGGGCAGGCCUGCCUUGCCUAACCCCAUCGGUGCCUCUUUCCUUGAUAUGAUGUCAAAAUCAGAUAUAUCAAACUUGUCUAUGUGCAGAAUUACCGAUGGAAUCAUCACUUCUGUUCAACUACUAUAAAGCAAUUCCUACACCA
Macaca mulatta (Rhesus monkey) is the source of this 322-nucleotide non-coding RNA. Lineage: Eukaryota; Metazoa; Chordata; Mammalia; Primates; Cercopithecidae. The record is from RefSeq and is a predicted model, not a curated record.